Molecule: ribosomal RNA, 448 nt
Filed under: uncultured bacterium
Lineage: Bacteria
Description: partial 16S ribosomal RNA
Rfam family: Bacterial small subunit ribosomal RNA
Source: RNAcentral
CCCAGACUCCUACGGGAGGCAGCAGUGGGGAAUAUUGGGCAAUGGGCGCAAGCCUGACCCAGCAACGCCGCGUGAAGGAAGAAGGCUUUCGGGUUGUAAACUUCUUUUAUUCGGGACGAAGAAAGUGACGGUACCGAAUGAAUAAGCCACGGCUAACUACGUGCCAGCAGCCGCGGUAAUACGUAGGUGGCAAGCGUUAUCCGGAUUUACUGGGUGUAAAGGGCGUGUAGGCGGGACUGCAAGUCAGAUGUGAAAUUCCAGGGCUCAACCCUGGACCUGCAUUUGAAACUGUAGUUCUUGAGUGAUGGAGAGGCAGGCGGAAUUCCGUGUGUAGCGGUGAAAUGCGUAGAUAUACGGAGGAACACCAGUGGCGAAGGCGGCCUGCUGGACAUUAACUGACGCUGAGGCGCGAAAGCGUGGGGAGCAAACAGGAUUAGAUACCCUUGUA